AGAUCGAACUAUAGAGUUUGAUCCUGGCUCAGAUUGAACGCUGGCGGCAUGCCUUACACAUGCAAGUCGAACGGUAACAGGUUAAGCUGACGAGUGGCGAACGGGUGAGUAAUAUAUCGGAACGUGCCCAGUCGUGGGGGAUAACGUAGCGAAAGCUACGCUAAUACCGCAUACGAUCUAU
RNAcentral lists this ribosomal RNA (181 nucleotides) under Betaproteobacteria bacterium. RNAcentral describes it as "partial 16S ribosomal RNA". It matches the Rfam family "Bacterial small subunit ribosomal RNA", at positions 1 to 183 of the family's 1533-position model. Lineage: Bacteria; Pseudomonadati; Pseudomonadota; Betaproteobacteria. The record is from RNAcentral.